This 114-nucleotide ribosomal RNA is filed under the name uncultured bacterium. RNAcentral describes it as "partial 16S ribosomal RNA". It matches the Rfam family "Bacterial small subunit ribosomal RNA", at positions 1360 to 1482 of the family's 1533-position model. The record is from RNAcentral.
CGGUGAAUACGUACCCGGACCUUGUACACACCGCCCGUCAAGCCAUGGAAGCCGGGUGUACCUAAAGUCGAUAACCGCAAGGAGUCGCCUAGGGUAAAACUGGUGACUGGGGCU